RNAcentral lists this ribosomal RNA (253 nucleotides) under uncultured bacterium. Its description in RNAcentral is "partial 16S ribosomal RNA". It matches the Rfam family "Bacterial small subunit ribosomal RNA", at positions 524 to 777 of the family's 1533-position model. The record is from RNAcentral.
UACGUAGGGAGCGAGCGUUGUCCGGAUUUAUUGGGCGUAAAGAGCUCGUAGGCGGUUUGGCAAGUCGGAUGUGAAAGCUCCGGGCUCAACCCGGAGACGCCAUUCGAUACUGCCAUGACUAGAGUCCGGUAGGGGGGUGUGGAAUUCCCAGUGUAGCGGUGAAAUGCGCAGAUAUUGGGAGGAACACCAAUGGCGAAGGCAGCACCCUGGGCCGGUACUGACGCUGAGGAGCGAAAGCGUGGGAGCAACAGGA